Molecule: long non-coding RNA, 354 nt
Filed under: Hordeum vulgare
Lineage: Eukaryota; Viridiplantae; Streptophyta; Magnoliopsida; Poales; Poaceae
Description: long non-coding RNA (HVUL_LNC002706)
Source: RNAcentral
UAUAUUAUUUCAUGUGUCAAAAGGGACAGAAGACUCCAAAAAUGGUCCAAAAAUAAUUUGCAUCCAAAAUACAUGGUUGCAUUCACAUUUUGAGUCCUUCCAAUGACUAUUGUAAGACUGUUACAGCAAACAUGAGUAUAUGAGGAUUUAGAUAGAUGAGAAAAUCAAUACGAGUGAUGUGGAAAUAUUUUGUCAUAUCUUCUAAACUUACCUUUGUAUCUUUAAAAAUCAAAUUAUAUAGUGCCGAGAUAGUGAAAAGUUACUCCCGCGAAGUUGUAGGGAUGAUUAAAUUAAUAAUUUGUUACCCAAUUGUGCUAUCAUUGCUGAGUUCAUCUAUAAACUCACCACUAUGAG